UACAGAGGGUGCAAGCGUUAUUCGGAAUUACUGGGCAUAAAGAGCGCGUAGGCGGUCUAAUAAGUCUGAUGUGAAAUCCCUGGACUCAAUUCAGGAAGUGCAUCGGAUACUGUUAGACUGGAGUGCAGGAGAGGAGAGCGGAAUUCCUGGUGUAGAGGUGAAAUUCGUAGAUAUCAGGAGGAACAACAGUGGCGAAGGCGGCUCUCUGGACUGCAACUGACGCUGAGGCGCGAAAGCGUGGGGAGCAAACAGGAUUAGAUACCCUGGUAGUCCACGCCGUAAACGAUGGAAGCUAGAUGUCGGAAGUUCUUACCCUUCCGGUGUCGUCGCUAAUGCAUUAAGCUUCCCGCCUGGGGAGUACGGUCGCAAGAUUA
This 374-nucleotide ribosomal RNA is filed under the name uncultured prokaryote. RNAcentral's name for it is "bacterial SSU rRNA". It matches the Rfam family "Bacterial small subunit ribosomal RNA", at positions 524 to 896 of the family's 1533-position model. The record is from RNAcentral.